AACGAACGCUGGCGGCGUGCCUAACACAUGCAAGUCGAGCGCGAAUGGAGCAAUCCUAGUAGAGCGGCGCACGGGUGCGUAACACGUGGAUAAUCUGCCUGGGUGUCUGGGAUAACCAGUCGAAAGACUGGCUAAUACCGGAUAAGACCACGGUCUCUUCGGAGGCUGUGAGAAAAGGUGGCCUCUGUAUACAAGCUAUCACAUCCAGANGAGUCCGCGGCCCAUCAGCUAGUUGGCGGGGUAAUGGCCCACCAAGGCGACGACGGGUAGCUGGUCUGAGAGGGCGACCGGCCACACGUGGGACUGAGAC
This 310-nucleotide ribosomal RNA is filed under the name uncultured bacterium. RNAcentral's name for it is "bacterial SSU rRNA". It matches the Rfam family "Bacterial small subunit ribosomal RNA", at positions 29 to 325 of the family's 1533-position model. The record is from RNAcentral.